This 253-nucleotide ribosomal RNA is filed under the name uncultured bacterium. Its description in RNAcentral is "partial 16S ribosomal RNA". It matches the Rfam family "Bacterial small subunit ribosomal RNA", at positions 524 to 776 of the family's 1533-position model. The record is from RNAcentral.
UACGUAGGCAGCGAGCGUUGUUCGGAGUUACUGGGCGUAAAGGGUGCGCAGGCGGUGGAGCAAGUCUGUUGUGAAAUCUCCCGGCUUAACCGGGAGGGUGCGGCGGAAACUGUUCUGCUGGAGUGAGGGAGAGGCAAGCGGAAUUCCUGGUGUAGCGGUGAAAUGCGUAGAUAUCAGGAAGAACACCCGUGGUGCAGACGGCUUGCUGGACCUCCACUGACGCUGAGGCACGAAAGCGUGGGGAGCGAACAGG